GAGGGUAUAGCUCAAGUGGUAGAGCACAUGCUUAGCGUGCACGAGGUCCUGGGUUCAAUCUCCAGUACCUUCA
RNAcentral lists this transfer RNA (73 nucleotides) under Camelus bactrianus (Bactrian camel). It matches the Rfam family "tRNA". From Rfam's summary of the family: Transfer RNA (tRNA) molecules are approximately 80 nucleotides in length. Their secondary structure includes four short double-helical elements and three loops (D, anti-codon, and T loops). Further hydrogen bonds mediate the characteristic L-shaped molecular structure. tRNAs have two regions of fundamental functional importance: the anti-codon, which is responsible for specific mRNA codon recognition, and the 3' end, to which the tRNAs corresponding amino acid is attached (by aminoacyl-tRNA synthetases). tRNAs cope with the degeneracy of the genetic code in two manners: having more than one tRNA (with a specific anti-codon) for a particular amino acid; and 'wobble' base-pairing, i.e. permitting non-standard base-pairing at the 3rd anti-codon position. Lineage: Eukaryota; Metazoa; Chordata; Mammalia; Artiodactyla; Camelidae. RNAcentral also lists the same sequence under 1 other name. The record is from Rfam by way of RNAcentral.